AACGAGAUUUGCCAUGAGAAGUCAGCAGAAGUCAUAGUACCAUGGCGGUUUCAAACAUCAUGGGAAGGAC
This is a non-coding RNA of Lachnospiraceae bacterium, 70 nucleotides long. The record is from Rfam. NCBI's taxonomy places the organism in Bacteria, Bacillati, Bacillota, Clostridia, Lachnospirales, Lachnospiraceae.